GUGCACCAGGCGCGAAAACUUCACAAUGUGCGAAAGCACGAUGAGGGAAUCCCAAGUGCUUGCUCGUAAGAGUAAGCUGUUUCUCUGUCUAAAACGCAGAGAGAGUAAGGGCUGGGUAAGACGGGUGCCAGCCGCCGCGGUAAUACCUGCAGCUCGAGUGGUGGCCGCUAUUAUUGGGCCUAAAACGUCCGUAGCCGGUUUAUUAAAUGCCUGGGUAAAUCGGACCGCUUAACGGUUCGAAUUCCGGGUAGACUGAUAAACUUGAGACCGGGAGAAGCUAGAGGUACUCCUGGGGUAGAGGUGAAAUUCUGUAAUCCUAGGGGGACCACCAGUGGCGAAGGCGUCUAGCUAGAACGGGUCUGACGGUGAGGGACGAAGCCCUGGGGCGCAAACGGGAUUAGAUACCCCUGUAGU
RNAcentral lists this ribosomal RNA (414 nucleotides) under uncultured microorganism. Its description in RNAcentral is "bacterial SSU rRNA". It matches the Rfam family "Archaeal small subunit ribosomal RNA", at positions 330 to 745 of the family's 1478-position model. The record is from RNAcentral.